This 1362-nucleotide ribosomal RNA is filed under the name uncultured bacterium. RNAcentral describes it as "bacterial SSU rRNA". It matches the Rfam family "Bacterial small subunit ribosomal RNA", at positions 28 to 1381 of the family's 1533-position model. The record is from RNAcentral.
GAUGAACGCUAGCUACAGGCUUAACACAUGCAAGUCGAGGGGCAGCAUUUCAGUUUGCUUGCAAACUGGAGAUGGCGACCGGCGCACGGGUGAGUAACACGUAUCCAACCUGCCGAUAACUCGGGGAUAGCCUUUCGAAAGAAAGAUUAAUACCCGAUGGCAUAAUUAGACCGCAUGGUCUUAUUAUUAAAGAAUUUCGGUUAUCGAUGGGGAUGCGUUCCAUUAGGCAGUUGGUGAGGUAACGGCUCACCAAACCUUCGAUGGAUAGGGGUUCUGAGAGGAAGGUCCCCCACAUUGGAACUGAGACACGGUCCAAACUCCUACGGGAGGCAGCAGUGAGGAAUAUUGGUCAAUGGGCGCAGGCCUGAACCAGCCAAGUAGCGUGAAGGAUGACUGCCCUAUGGGUUGUAAACUUCUUUUAUAUGGGAAUAAAGUUUUCCACGUGUGGAAUUUUGUAUGUACCAUAUGAAUAAGGAUCGGCUAACUCCGUGCCAGCAGCCGCGGUAAUACGGAGGAUCCGAGCGUUAUCCGGAUUUAUUGGGUUUAAAGGGAGCGUAGGUGGACAGUUAAGUCAGUUGUGAAAGUUUGCGGCUCAACCGUAAAAUUGCAGUUGAUACUGGCUGUCUUGAGUACAGUAGAGGUGGGCGGAAUUCGUGGUGUAGCGGUGAAAUGCUUAGAUAUCACGAAGAACUCCGAUUGCGAAGGCAGCUCACUGGACUGCAACUGACACUGAUGCUCGAAAGUGUGGGUAUCAAACAGGAUUAGAUACCCUGGUAGUCCACACAGUAAACGAUGAAUACUCGCUGUUUGCGAUAUACAGUAAGCGGCCAAGCGAAAGCAUUAAGUAUUCCACCUGGGGAGUACGCCGGCAACGGUGAAACUCAAAGGAAUUGACGGGGGCCCGCACAAGCGGAGGAACAUGUGGUUUAAUUCGAUGAUACGCGAGGAACCUUACCCGGGCUUAAAUUGCAUUUGAAUAUAUUGGAAACAGUAUAGCCGUAAGGCAAAUGUGAAGGUGCUGCAUGGUUGUCGUCAGCUCGUGCCGUGAGGUGUCGGCUUAAGUGCCAUAACGAGCGCAACCCUUAUCUUUAGUUACUAACAGGUCAUGCUGAGGACUCUAGAGAGACUGCCGUCGUAAGAUGUGAGGAAGGUGGGGAUGACGUCAAAUCAGCACGGCCCUUACGUCCGGGGCUACACACGUGUUACAAUGGGGGGUACAGAAGGCAGCUACCUGGUGACAGGAUGCUAAUUCCCAAAAGCCUCUCUCAGUUCGGAUCGAAGUUCUGCAACCCGACUUCGUGAAGCUGGAUUUCGCUAGUAAUCGCGCAUCAGCCAUGGCGCGGUGAAUACGUUCCCGGGCCU